This is a long non-coding RNA of Argentina anserina (silverweed cinquefoil), 683 nucleotides long. RefSeq lists it as uncharacterized. The transcript has 2 exons. NCBI's taxonomy places the organism in Eukaryota, Viridiplantae, Streptophyta, Magnoliopsida, Rosales, Rosaceae. The record is from RefSeq and is a predicted model, not a curated record.
CAUAUCGAGCUGCUCCCCGACGACCCAGAGCAUCGCGCGCAUCGCCGCGUCGUUCGCCGCCGUCAGGCCGUCUCCGGCCGGCGCACCGAAAGCAUCGUGACCGCCUCCUCGUCGCCGUCCUCCCUAUGGUCGUGCCUUGACCAAUCGCCACCGGAGGAGGGAGAAUCGCGGAAAGGAAGCUCAACCUGUUUUGAGUUUCAUCGGAGACUUCGCAGCCUUUUCGGCGAUUCCAACCACCAUUGGAUUUCUCCUGGUGAAUUAGAGGCUGAUUUCCAGAGGGGAUGGGUAAGAGGAAAAGCUUGGAGAUGACUUUGUUAUUAUGAGUUCGUUAGAGAAAAGCUUUCGGCAAAUUGAGGCCUGUAAUGAAUUAAGGUAUCUUGAGGUUUUGGAGUUGAUUACCAUUCCAGUAAUGGUUGUUUGAUUAAUUUGAAAUAUAUGAGGUUGCGUGUAUAUGCCUCUUGUGUAUGCAUGUUUGCUGUACUGGGCUUUGUCGACUUCUUCUCCUACAGUUAUCAAUUAAGGUAUAAUUAUAUCCUUGGAAUCAAAGUCGAUUUCUCCGGCUUUGUGUAUGGAAGUGAAUGGUAAACUAGAACUUCUUGGUCAAUGUUUCUGUCAAUUUGAUAUUGUGGGUAAUUGACAGAAGUUGGACUAUUUAUAUAUUGAAAGUUCUGGGUUUCUUUGAA